AUGAGACCCAGUUGGUAUCUCCUCCCGUGUUCUCUAACUUCACCACUGAGCCAUCUACUGCUCCUUUCACACCUCCGCCUGAGUUGGCCCACUUAACUACUCCCUCUUCACCAGAUGUGCCUUUUGCUCGGUUCCUCUCCUCUUCUGUGAAAGUUAAAACUAACACUGGUGCCAAUGAUUUUCAAACAACAUACUCUCUUUAUCCAGGAAGUCCUGCUAGUACUCUCAGAUCCCCUGUUUCGAGGGGACCAGG
RNAcentral lists this unclassified non-coding RNA (253 nucleotides) under Hevea brasiliensis (rubber tree). Lineage: Eukaryota; Viridiplantae; Streptophyta; Magnoliopsida; Malpighiales; Euphorbiaceae. The record is from RNAcentral.